RNAcentral lists this long non-coding RNA (2088 nucleotides) under Homo sapiens (human). RNAcentral's name for it is "long independently transcribed non-coding RNA 2473, transcript variant 2 (LINC02473)". Lineage: Eukaryota; Metazoa; Chordata; Mammalia; Primates; Hominidae. The record is from RNAcentral.
AGAGAUACCACCAGCUUCUGAUGGUGUUACACCCUGGAAAUGGCAGUCCAGCUCUAGCUUCUGGAAGGCAACUGGCAAGAGCAUAAGAAAACAGCCGAAGAUUAGAUUUUGAUAAUGAGAGAGCCCAACGAUCCUGGACCCCUGGCCGGGAGGACAAUAGGGGAAACAGGUGAAACACUGUGUGAGCUGGACCACCCAGGCUCUCCAACACCAGGACACCAGAGCAUCCUUCCUCCUUCUUCUCUUCUGCUGCGACUUCCUGGAGGCAUAGCAGAGUUACAACUGCUGGCCAUGUGGAACUUCUCUUCUCCUAUAAGUUUGCUCUGAGAUGGAGAGAUUGUGCCUGUGGUUCAUUAGGAAGAGCUCUUGGGAUCAAUGCCUGUAAUAAGGAAGGGAAGGAAUCAGGAUUGGCCAGAAGGAGAAGUUGAGCUGUGUUGAAGCCUCAAUGGAGACCUCAGCCAAUUCUGAGUCAUGUCCUGAAGCUAGAAUAUGUCCUCUAAAUUAUCCCAAGCUGAGAUGAGGGAGCUGGGCAUUUAGCCCUGUAUUAGGCCAUUCUUGCACUGCUAUAAAGAAAUAACUAUGGCCUGGCGCCGUGGCUCACGUCCUUAAUCCUAGCACUUUGGGAGGCCGAGGCGAGCAGAUCACGAGGUCAGAGUUUGACACCAGCCUGGCCAAUAUGGUGAAACCCCAAUUCUACUAAAAAUACGAAAAUUAGCCAGGCGUGGUGGCACAUGUCUGUAAUCUCAGCUACUCGGGAGGCUGAGGCAGGAGAAUUGCUUGAACCCAGGAAGUGGAGGUUGCAGUGAGCUGAGAUUGUGCCUCUGCACUCCAGCCUAGGGAAUAAAGCGAAAGUCUGUCAAAAAAAAAAAAAAAAAGGAAAGAAGGAAAUAACUGAGACUGGUAAUUUAUAAAGAAGAGGUUUAAUUGGCUCACAGUUCCUCAUGCUAUACAAAAAGCAUGAUGCUGGCAUCUGCUCAGCUUCUUGGGAGGCCUCAGGAAAUGUACAAUCAUGGCAGAAGGUGACGCGGGAGCAGGCAGUUCACAGGGCCGGUGCAGGAGGAGAGAGAGAGGCAGGAGAUGCUACACGCCUUUAAACAACCAGAUCUCCUGAUAACUCACUCUCGUCACAACACCACCAAGGGAGAUGGUGUUAAACCAUGAGAAACCACCUCCACGAUCCAAUCACCUCCCACCAGGCCUCACCUCCAACACUGGGGAUUUAUAAUUCCACGUGAGAUUUGGGUAGAGGACACAGAUCCAAAAUAUAUCAUACCCCCACGUUGAUCAGUCAUUAGAUGUGGGCCACCCUAGUUGAGGCAGCUCCCCUCGCUCAGGUGGUUCCUGAAGCGAGCUGACAGCUGACGGCUGCAUGCCAGAGGUACUGUCAGCAGCUGAAGGAGAGUCUUUUGUGCUAAAAGCCAUCUUAAGCAGCACAGCACAGCGUCCACCACAUAUUGUGGACAGGUGAUAUGGUUUAGAUCUGUAUCCCCACCACAAUUUCAUGCUGAAUUGUAGUCCCCAAUGUUGGAGGUAAGCCCUGGUGGGAGGUGUUCGGGUCGUGGGAGCAGAUCCCUCAUGAAUGGCUUGGGCCAUCCUCUUGGUGAUGAGGGAACACUCACUCUGAGUGUUCACAAGAUCUGGUGGUUUAAACGUGUAUGGCACCUCUCCCCACCCCCACUCUUUCUUGUUCCUGCUUUUGCCAUGGGACUCGCAUGAUCCCUUUGCCUUCUGCCAGGACUAAAAGCUCCCUGGAGCCUCCUCAGAAGCUGAGCGAUGUUGGCGCCAUGCUUCUGGUACAGCCUGCAGAACCAUGAGCCAAUUCAACCUCCUUUCUUUAUAAAUUACCCAGUCUCAGGUAUUUCUUUAUGGCAAUACAAGAACACCAGGGGUUUGCAGGUAACCCGGGCCCCUGUCCUUGAGGACACAGCAGCAAGCCAUUGGUAAAGCAAAACUGUCCAUAAGGAAGGCUGCUCCCAUGCAGUGUUCAUUUGGGCAGCCCAGAAAUCGAGAAAUCCUCGGUCCAUUUCAAGUUUGGGGGAAAACUUAUUUUUAUCAUAUUUGAGAUGAAUAAUAAAAGCAAAUCCAGAA